This 663-nucleotide ribosomal RNA is filed under the name uncultured bacterium. RNAcentral's name for it is "bacterial SSU rRNA". It matches the Rfam family "Bacterial small subunit ribosomal RNA", at positions 112 to 763 of the family's 1533-position model. The record is from RNAcentral.
AACGCGUGGGAAAUCUGCCGAGUAGCGGGGGACAACGCUUGGAAACGAACGCUAAUACCGCAUAGCAAUGAGAAUCGCAUGAUUCUGAUUUAAAAGAAGCAACUGCUUCACUACUUGAUGAUCCCGCGUUGUAUUAGCUAGUUGGUAGUGUAAAGGACUACCAAGGCGAUGAUACAUAGCCGGCCUGAGAGGGUGAACGGCCACACUGGGACUGAGACACGGCCCAGACUCCUACGGGAGGCAGCAGUAGGGAAUCUUCGGCAAUGGGGGCAACCCUGACCGAGCAACGCCGCGUGAGUGAAGAAGGUUUUCGGAUCGUAAAACUCUGUUGUUAGAGAAGAACGUUAAGUAGAGUGGAAAGUUACUUAAGUGACGGUAUCUAACCAGAAAGGGACGGCUAACUACGUGCCAGCAGCCGCGGUAAUACGUAGGUCCCGAGCGUUGUCCGGAUUUAUUGGGCGUAAAGCGAGCGCAGGUGGUUCCUUAAGUCUGAUGUAAAAGGCAGUGGCUCAACCAUUGUGUGCAUUGGAAACUGGGGAACUUGAGUGCAGGAGAGGGGAGUGGAAUUCCAUGUGUAGCGGUGAAAUGCGUAGAUAUAUGGAGGAACACCGGAGGCGAAAGCGGCUCUCUGGCCUGUAACUGACACUGAGGCUCGAAAGCGUG